Molecule: ribosomal RNA, 378 nt
Filed under: Lumbricillus pagenstecheri complex sp. A MJK-2016
Lineage: Eukaryota; Metazoa; Annelida; Clitellata; Enchytraeida; Enchytraeidae
Description: partial 12S ribosomal RNA
Rfam family: Microsporidia small subunit ribosomal RNA
Source: RNAcentral
UUAAGACAUAUCUUUUUACCGGUCAAUACGAACAACUGUUUAAAAUCCAAAGAAUUUGGCGGUGUCUCAUUCUAUCAGGGGAACCUGUUACUUAAUUCGAUACUCCACGAAACUAAAUCCAUAUUUUGAAUAAUCAGCCUGUGUACUGCUGUCGCCAGUAAACCUCUAAAAGACAGUUUACAAUUAUAUACCCAUAUUUACGUCAAGUCAAAGUGCAGCCAAUAAUAUGGAGCUAAAUGGGUUACAAUCUACAUACAGAAACGAAUAAAGUAAUUAAAAUACUUUUGAAGGUGGACUUGAUAGUAAUAUUUAAAUUAUAGUAAUAUUAAUUUGUACCUGAGACAUGCACACAUCGCCCGUCACUCUCAUCUUAAGAUU